Molecule: ribosomal RNA, 253 nt
Filed under: uncultured bacterium
Lineage: Bacteria
Description: partial 16S ribosomal RNA
Rfam family: Bacterial small subunit ribosomal RNA
Source: RNAcentral
UACGUAGGGACCGAGCGUUGUCCGGAAUCCUUGGGCGUAACGAGCGUGUAGGCGGCCAUGUAGGUCCGGUGUGAAAACUCGAGGCUUAACCUCGAGAUGUCAUCGGAAACCAUUUGGCUAGAGUCCGGAAGAGGAGAGUGGAAUUCCUGGUGUAGCGGUGAAAUGCGCAGAUAUCAGGAAGAACACCAAUGGCGAAAGCAGCUCUCUGGGACGGUACUGACGCUGAGACGCGAAAGCGUGGGGAGCGAACAGG